CUUGGUUACUACUAUUUCAUUGGCAAAAAAAUUUCAUCAAAAUUAACAGUAGGAAAAUUUUUGAUAAAAUUUGAGUUAUUUUUUUUUAAAUUUGGCAUUUAAGAUUGUACUAUAUUAGAUAAGAUUAGUACACUCAUAAAGAAGAAGCUGUAUUUUAAUUUUCUUGUUGCUCCUAAAUUUAAAAAUUUCUGUUAGUUUGAAAAAAUGUCGGGCGAUUAUAGCGAUAUUAUUGCAUCGAUUUUGAUGGAACAGCUUCAACAACCGCUCCCAGCCCUCAUGCAUGUCAUACGCAACCCAGAAGAAGACGAUUCAUCAAGACGGAACGUCAUAAUGGCGCACCGCAUUGUGAAAAUGCAUAAACCAUCGGAUAGAACCACUGAUGAGGGCAUGCAAGAUUCAACAGCAGAAUCGCACGAUUUGACAGGUCCAAGUACAAGCAGAAGUGAUGAAAGAGUACCGAACGAACAUUCUUUAAAUUCUCGUGACACACAUUCUUCUUAAAUGCACAAUACACAUUUACAGACCUCUGCAUUACACUACAACAAAUUUACUGCUGCUCAGAGACAUCAUUACAAUCUAAUGCUGUACCUACAAACCAUUGAAAUUAGAACUUCUAUAUAAUUAUUGGAUAAUUAUGGAGGUUAUGUUAAACUUCUUUUGUGAAAAAUUUAAAUGGAAGCUACUUUAGAUGCAACUACUGAGAAAACUGCAUGAACUACAAUAACAUCUACAUUUGUUGGAACAGAAGCUAUACAAAAUCAAUAUGAAUUUUAGGACCAGUAAUCUACAUUGAUCCUUUGUGGUUCUUUUUGAGUCUCAUUUAAUUCCUGCUCAUUUCUCCGUACGCAACUGACAAGUUAUUUUCCUGUCAAUUAUCGUUUGGGUCCUAAGAAAACCGAAUUUUAUGUAUAAAUGGUGUUUAUGUUCGUUCUAUGUUAUAAAGGAAACUGUAGAAUCAGAAAGUACAAUCAUGAUUUGCAUUAUUCUUCUAUAUAAUCCGAGGUGUUCUCAAAACAUUUGCACAAGAUGAUGAAGACUUGAAAAGGAUGACACCUCUGACAGUGCCAAUCACAUCUACUUUAAUGCAACCAAUAUAAAACUAAGUUUGCCUGAACACUUUCAGUACUUCACCUUGAAUGAAGAAAUCAAACUAACUCAUGCAAAAUAAAUUAUGAUUAGAUUCUGAAA
Cimex lectularius (bed bug) is the source of this 1188-nucleotide long non-coding RNA. RefSeq lists it as uncharacterized. The transcript has 5 exons. NCBI's taxonomy places the organism in Eukaryota, Metazoa, Arthropoda, Insecta, Hemiptera, Cimicidae. The record is from RefSeq and is a predicted model, not a curated record.